Molecule: ribosomal RNA, 465 nt
Filed under: uncultured bacterium
Lineage: Bacteria
Description: partial 16S ribosomal RNA
Rfam family: Bacterial small subunit ribosomal RNA
Source: RNAcentral
GACGAACGCUGGCGGUGUGCUUAACACAUGCAAGUCGAACGGUAAGGCCCUUUCUGGUGUACACGAGUGGCGAACGGGUGAGUAACACGUGAGUAACCUCCCCUCAUCUCUGGGAUAACAGUCGGAAACGGUUGCUAAUACUGGAUAUGAGCCUGCCAGGCAUCUUGUGGGGGGGAAGGAUUUUUUGGUUGGGGGUGGACUCGCGGCCUAUCAUCUUGUUGGUGAGGGGGUGGCUGACCAAGGCUUCUACGGGUGGCCGGCCUGAGAGGGCGACCGGCCGCAUUGGGACUGAGAUACGGCCCAAGCUCCCACGGGAGGCAGCCGUGGGGAAUUAUGCAAAAUGGACCGGAGUCUGAUGCAGCAACGCCGCGGGCGGGAAGACGGCCUUCGGGUUGUAAAACGCCUUCAAUUGUGAAGAAGCUUUUUGUGACGGUAGCAGUAGAAGAAGCACCGGCUAACUACGUG